GUUACCCCUUGUAGAUUACAGGUUACCCCUUGUAGAACUAACACUAGAUUACAGGUUACCCCUUGUAGAUUACAGAUUACCCCUUGUAGAACUAACCCUAGAUUACAGGUUACCCCUUGUAGAACAUACCCCUAGAUUACAGGUUACCCCUUGUAGAACUAACACUAGAUUACAUGUUACCCCUUGUAGAUUACAGGUUACCCCUUGUAGAUUACAGGUUACCCCUUGUAGAACUAACCCUAGAUUACAGGUUACCCCUUGUAGAACUAACACUAGAUUACAGGUUACCCCUUGUAGAACUAACACUAGAUUACAGGUUACCCCUUGUAGAACUAACCCUAGAUUACAGGUUACCCCUUGUAGAACUAACCCUAGAUUAUAGGUUAUCCCUUGUAGAACUAACACUAGAUUACAGGUUACCCCUUGUAGAACUAACACUAGAUUACAGGUUACCCCUUGUAGAACUAACACUAGAUUACAGGUUUCCCCUUGUAGAACUAACACUAGAUUACAGGUUACCCCUUGUAGAACUAACCCUAGAUUACAGGUUACCCCUUGUAGAACUAACCCUAGAUUACAGGUUACCCCUUGUAGAACUAACACUGAACACCUGUAUGUGACCAAUAACAUCUGUUAAACACGUGUAUGUGACCAAUAACAUCUGCUAACCAUGAGUAUCUGACCAAUAACAUCUGCUAACCAUGUGUAUGUGACCAAUACCAUCUGCUAACCAUGUGUAUGUGACCAAUAACAUUUGCUAACCUUGUGUAUGUGACCAAUACCAUCUGCUAACCAUGUGUAUGUGACCAAUACCAUCUGCUAACCAUGUGACCAAUACCAUCUGCUAACCAUGUGUAUGUGACCAAUAACAUCUGCUAACCAUGUGUAUGUGACCAAUAACAUCUGCUAACCAUGUGACCAAUACCAUCUGCUAACCAUGUGACCAAUACCAUCUGCUAACCAUGUGUAUGUGAACUAUACCAUCUGCGAACCAUGUGACCAAUACCAUCUGCUAACCAUCUGUAUGCAACCAAUAACAUUUGAUAUGCUGUAAACAGGAGUACAACAUUUUUUUUGGGUUCUUGAUUUAACACAACAACAAAACAUGUCUUGUUAGUGAGGGAGAAGAUUGGUCCGAUCGCAACCCCAGACUUCAUCCAGAACGCUCCUGGACUUCCUAAAACACGAUCUGGUAAGAUCAUGAGGCGGGUCCUGAGGCAGAUCGCCCGGAACGAGAAGGAUCUAGGUGACCUUUCAACUAUGGCUGACCCCAAGGUCGUAGAGGUCCUGUUCAACCACCGCUGUGAAACGGCCUCUUGAGGGGGCUGCAUGUCAACACUCUACAGUAGCUUCUUCUCCUCAUCUCCUCUCCUCGUCUCCUCAUCUCCUCUCCUCGUCUCCUCCUCUCCUCUCCAUCCACACUGAUCUGAAAACUAUGGAAGCCCAUUCCUGCCACCAACUCUUUAAAAAAUUAUUAUUAUUUUUUUAAAAUAAUAACAUACUGCUACAAAUUAAGAACUAUAUAUGUGCACAUUUAUUUCCAUAUAUCCACGUUGCAGAGAUCAGCACAGCAGGGUGGCUGGCAUUUACCCCAACACUUUUUCAAUUCGGUUUAAUAAAAAAUAUUGACACAAAAGCAUUGAAGAUUACUGUUGUUUAGAAUGAUUUUGCCUUUAUGAUUUGUCAACUCGUGCUUCAGUCUGAUCAACUGUAGUCUACUGAUAACGACCACAGCUACAGGUGGCCAAGAGAAACCUAUGCACUCUGGUCUCUUCUGGCCAUAUGAAACGAAGCCGACUUCGUCUACCCAGACCGUAUCAAUCCAAAAUGAUUGACCUGAAAUCAAUCGAUGAACACAAUAGUGAUGACAUCCUGUACGAGUCACUUUUCAAUUACAGAUGUUAAAAGGCCCGCACUUUUUAACCGUGCAUGCAGUCAGCACUGUUGGUUCUAUUGGCCAAUCACAGUUGUUGAUUAGUAUUUAAAGAAUAAAUCAUUUUUAAACCAGGAUGUUGGGAAAUAACAAUCUGCCCACAUGCAACCGUUUUAUUUCUAUUACUAUGUCAUACCCUACGACUUAGGUUCUGGAGUUUUACCUGGUUGGGUUAGCCUACCAGUUCAGGAAAAACUCUGGGGGGGGGCCCCCCCUAGGAAAACCCCUCCUGUGGUGCCACCUCUGAAAAUCACCCCCACAGAGAGACAGAUGAAGAAGUAUGCUCUACAAUCUCAACCAUUUUUUUUUUUUUAAGUAUCUCAUCAUAACAAUAAAUGUGGUUGGCGGGAAUGGGCUUUCUGCAGAAAACACAGGUUAUAUAAUAUACAACAGGAAACAUGGCGGUAUUUUCUUAUCAUUCUGUCACUUCUUCAGCGUCAUUCUAGGAAGAUGGAGAUGAGGUGAGGAAGCUACGUUAAGACACCCAGAGAGUCCCCCUUCCUCCUCCACCUAAUCUGAAGAUGCUGAGGCCUGUCUCCUAGUCUGUGGACAAAGACACUUCAAUUAUUUUAAAUUGUACUGUUUGCUAUUCUUUAAACACGUGUUUUAUUCAUGUGCUGUUCUAUAAACCAGUGUGUGUGUUGAUCUGAUGGUCCCUAAGCGCUGAUCCUGGUCGUAAAUUAUUUUGUGUGGUCUGUUUGGAGGAUGGAUAUUAUUAGUGGUUGGGGGACAGAUCCUAGAUCAGAUCUUAUGGGAACGACUGACUUCGAUGUUGUCUAUGUAAGGGAAUUGCAGUCAAUUCAAAUGCCAAUCCCAAGGGCUCAAACCAAUGAACUCCGUUUAUUUCAACACUUUUCUAUACCCGGUCAAAAAGGACAUGAAACAAUCCCUAUUCCAAAUGAAUAUUUAUGCCCCAGUGUUGUCAUUUGCAUGUAAUAAUGGGUGGGCCAAUGUUGAGGUAAACUGGACACGGAAUCAGAAUCGUCCCUUGUUGCCUGGUCAGCAACCGAACCUCUGGAACCCCUGGAACCUCUGGAACAUUCAGUGUUCUGAUUGAUCAGCUUCUGUCUUCCAUCUUGUUUUUUUACAUGCUCCUCAGAUUAUAUAUUAUUAUUGAUCUGUAAAGUCUAAAUGAUGGAAAGCUAUGAUAAUUAUUCCCAGGGAGACCAGUCAGCUCUCAGUUCUUCCACAAACAUCGCUUCCAUUUGUUUGGACGUCUUUUGUCUAUUUCAACUUUGAGAUUUUAUGAUUUGAGAAUAAAACUGUUUAAUUUA
Molecule: long non-coding RNA, 3207 nt
Organism: Oncorhynchus masou masou (cherry salmon)
Lineage: Eukaryota; Metazoa; Chordata; Actinopteri; Salmoniformes; Salmonidae
Exons: 2
Source: RefSeq, a predicted model, not a curated record